This 424-nucleotide ribosomal RNA is filed under the name uncultured bacterium. Its description in RNAcentral is "partial 16S ribosomal RNA". It matches the Rfam family "Bacterial small subunit ribosomal RNA", at positions 354 to 796 of the family's 1533-position model. The record is from RNAcentral.
GUGGGGAAUCUUGCGCAAUGGGCGAAAGCCUGACGCAGCCAUGCCGCGUGAAUGAUGAAGGUCUUAGGAUUGUAAAAUUCUUUCACCGGGGACGAUAAUGACGGUACCCGGAGAAGAAGCCCCGGCUAACUUCGUGCCAGCAGCCGCGGUAAUACGAAGGGGGCUAGCGUUGCUCGGAAUUACUGGGCGUAAAGGGCGCGUAGGCGGACAGUUUAGUCAGAGGUGAAAGCCCAGGGCUCAACCUUGGAAUUGCCUUUGAUACUGGCUGUCUUGAGUACGGGAGAGGUGAGUGGAACUCCGAGUGUAGAGGUGAAAUUCGUAGAUAUUCGGAAGAACACCAGUGGCGAAGGCGACUCACUGGCCCAAUACUGACGCUGAGGCGCGAAAGCGUGGGGAGCAAACAGGAUUAGAAACCGAGUAGUCC